AAUAGAAUUUCUGGGUAAAUAUUGUUACUUUUUGAGGAAUUGACAAAUUAUUUUCCAAAGCAGUUGCACCAUUUACAUUACUACCAGUAAU
RNAcentral lists this microRNA precursor (91 nucleotides) under Marmota monax (woodchuck). Lineage: Eukaryota; Metazoa; Chordata; Mammalia; Rodentia; Sciuridae. The record is from RNAcentral.